UGUUUCGGCUAGGGGGCCAUCCCGGCUUACCAACCCGAUGCAAACUGCGAAUACCGGAGAAUGUUAUCACGGGAGACACACGGCGGGUGCUAACGUCCGUCGUGAAGAGGGAAACAACCCAGACCGCCAGCUAAGGUCCCAAAGUCAUGGUUAAGUGGGAAACGAUGUGGGAAGGCCCAGACAGCCAGGAUGUUGGCUUAGAAGCAGCCAUCAUUUAAAGAAAGCGUAAUAGCUCACUGGUCGAGUCGGCCUGCGCGGAAGAUGUAACGGGGCUAAACCAUGCACCGAAGCUGCGGCAGCGACACUGUGUGUUGUUGGGUAG
RNAcentral lists this ribosomal RNA (322 nucleotides) under Salmonella enterica. RNAcentral describes it as "partial 23S ribosomal RNA". It matches the Rfam family "Bacterial large subunit ribosomal RNA", at positions 911 to 1231 of the family's 2925-position model. Lineage: Bacteria; Pseudomonadati; Pseudomonadota; Gammaproteobacteria; Enterobacterales; Enterobacteriaceae. RNAcentral also lists the same sequence under 1 other name. The record is from RNAcentral.